CUUGUCCAUACUUUCUCUUCCUGGGCUUUCUCCUUUCACCCACAGACUUGAUGAUCUGACCUUAUUCCUCAACUUCUGGCCUCAACUUCUCCAUAGGACAUUCCAUGACUGACCAUUCUCUUCUUGAGUCACCUGAUUAUUAUCUUGGUUUUCAGCACCCCCAUACUCUGCUGGUUUGGCUUCUUCCUUCGUGGAUUGUCCUGUUCCAUCUUCUCUGUUGAACUUUAAAUAGUAAAACAUCUAAAUCCAGUCUUCUCCACAAAAUCUACAUCCCCUUAAUUGCUUUAUAUACAAAAUAUAUCCCCCAAUUAACUGCUUCUCACUACCUAAGCCCCUUCCAAUUACUUGCUUAAUCUGAACUGUGACCACAUCUCUCCUGAGCUACCCCUUACAAACCUUUCUCCAUACAAUAAUCAAAAACAUUCUUUUUUUUUUUUUGUACUUUCAGACUUAGAAAUUUAGAAUAUUCUAAUGAGCCCCAUCACAUUACAACAUUAGUCAAUAUAGCUUCUCAUUUCAACAACAUUCCUCUUCUCUACAUUACCCUGGCUAGAUUAUUGCUUUGACAUUAUUUCAUCCACUUAUUAGAAUGUUCUUCUCUUCUGAAAAUACAAACCAGUCGUGUGUUGGGCGAGUGAUACUGUUUGCCCCGGACUGUCCUAAUUUUAAAACUGAAAGUCCCACAUGUCAGGAAACCCCUCAGUUCCAGUCAUUUUUUGAUCAUUCAAGUGUCCACUUAAAUGAAACUUCCUUAGGGGGAUCAUCCCUGAAAAAACAUUUUUUUCAAUCAUUUCAUCCUGUAUGUUUCCCUCCUGACAUGUAUCAUAAGUUGGAACUGUCAUGUUGAGGUACUUGGGUUCUUGUUUAUUUUGUAAUCCUCCCACAAAAAUAUAAACUCUAUGAAAAGGGAUCUCAUCUAACUCAUUCACCAUUUUGUCUCACACCAUGAACAGUGCCUGAUGAAAAUAAUAGUUGUCCAUUGAAUAAAU
Molecule: long non-coding RNA, 989 nt
Filed under: Marmota monax (woodchuck)
Lineage: Eukaryota; Metazoa; Chordata; Mammalia; Rodentia; Sciuridae
Source: RNAcentral